GUGUCAGCAGCCGCGGUAAUCCCGGCAGUCCAAGUCGCAGCCAACAUUAUUGGGUCUAAAACAUCCGUAGCUUGUUUAUUAAGUUCCUUGUGAAAUCCUAUGUCUCAAGCAUGGGGCUUGCGGGGAAUACUGAUAGGCUAGAGAUCGGAAGAUGCAAAGAGUACACGAAAGGUAGUGGUAAAAUACGUUAAUCUUUCGCGGACUAACAAUUGGCGAAGGCACUUUGCAAGUACGAAUCUGACAGUGAGGGAUGAAGGCCAGUGGCGCAAAAUGGAUUAGAUACCCUAGUAGUCC
This 294-nucleotide ribosomal RNA is filed under the name uncultured bacterium. RNAcentral describes it as "partial 16S ribosomal RNA". It matches the Rfam family "Archaeal small subunit ribosomal RNA", at positions 455 to 747 of the family's 1478-position model. The record is from RNAcentral.